RNAcentral lists this ribosomal RNA (504 nucleotides) under uncultured bacterium. RNAcentral describes it as "bacterial SSU rRNA". It matches the Rfam family "Bacterial small subunit ribosomal RNA", at positions 29 to 523 of the family's 1533-position model. The record is from RNAcentral.
AGUGAACGCUGGCGGCAGGCCUAAUACAUGCAAGUCGAACGGCAGCACAGCAGAGCUUGCUCUGUGGGUGGCGAGUGGCGGACGGGUGAGGAAUACAUGGGAAUCUGCCCAGUCGUGGGGAUAACGUAGGGAAACUUACGCUAAUACCGCAUGCGCCCUUCGGGGGAAAGCCGGGGACCUUCGGGCCUGGCGCGAUUGGAUGAGCCCAUGUCGGAUUAGCUAGUUGGCGGGGUAAUGGCCCACCAAGGCGACGAUCCGUAGCUGGUCUGAGAGGAUGAUCAGCCACACUGGAACUGAGACACGGUCCAGACUCCUACGGGAGGCAGCAGUAGGGAAUAUUGGACAAUGGGCGCAAGCCUGAUCCAGCCAUGCCGCGUGAGUGAAGAAGGCCCUCGGGUUGUAAAGCUCUUUUGUCCGGAAAGAAAAGACGCCGGGUUAAUACCCUGGUGUCCUGACGGUACCGAAGAAUAAGCACCGGCUAACUCGUGCCAGCAGCCGCGGUAA